GUGCGGGGGGGGCUAUCUGCAGUCGAGCGGAAGAGGGACUUGGUCCCUGUUGUUUUCGGCGCGCAGGGGUGUAUCACGUGUGUAUCCUGCCUGUAUAACUGUGGUAACUCCGGGAAAACGGAGAUCUUACCGGAUAUUUCCUUGAACCCCAUGGGGUUCGGAUGAGAAACAGUUUCUUCUGUCCUUUUAAGAAUGGCCCCCCGCCCCUUUACUUAUUUGGUAGGGUAACGCUCUACCAGGGCACCAAUGCUUACCCAACUGGAAGGGGUGACCGCCCCCCUGGGACUUGAAACCCGGCCCAAAUCCCUCCGGGGGGCAGAAUUAGGAAUUUUCCCCAAAUGACCAAAGUCUGAACGAAAAACCCCCCCUGUGAUUGAGAAAGGUUUCCAAACGAAACCCCUUUGUUUAGGAAAAAAAUUCUGAAUAAUGCUUCCACCCUUGAGGGUCCUAACCAAAAACCCCGCUUACUCCUUCCAGACCCGGGAAAACUUAGUGGGAACUUUUCCGGAAUUUUGGGCUAAAGGCCCCUACCGUUUUUUAU
This 541-nucleotide ribosomal RNA is filed under the name Bacillus subtilis. Its description in RNAcentral is "partial 16S ribosomal RNA". It matches the Rfam family "Bacterial small subunit ribosomal RNA", at positions 34 to 586 of the family's 1533-position model. Lineage: Bacteria; Bacillati; Bacillota; Bacilli; Caryophanales; Bacillaceae. The record is from RNAcentral.